GACAUAUAGUGGUUCGGUGCACCCCAGCACCUACAUCCACUCCCCAAGACCUCUUGGGAAUUUCACUAUAAUCCUACCGAUUACAGCCGGUUGUUUUACAAGCUCACAACCCAACUUGUUGUUUUACGAGCGUACAACGAACUCGGUCGGUUUUCCCAGGCUCACCGACUAGAACCAACCCCGAUUGUUUUCCCGGGCUCACAAUCAAACCCUUACACGUUGGUUUUACCCUCGGCUCACCAACAAACCUAAACCCCGUUGGUUUUCCCUUUGGCUCACCAACAAACCUUAAUUCCGUUGGUUUUCUCUUUGGCUCACCAACAAACCUUACACCGUUGGUUUUUCCUUUGGCUCACCAACAAACCUUUAACCCCUUGAUUCAAUCCCUUGAUUGAAUCAAGUUACAAGAUAUUAAAACAAAGAAUAAAAACAAAUCAAAGCUUCUUAAACAAGCAGAUAUGACAAUAUAAACAAAUAGAGUAAAGAGAAGCCCUCAAACGAGUUUUGAAGAUGGAGGAGCUCGGCUUCUUCUUUACUUGAUCCUCCUCUGAUUUGGCAU
RNAcentral lists this long non-coding RNA (559 nucleotides) under Phoenix dactylifera (date palm). Its description in RNAcentral is "long non-coding RNA (PDAC_LNC021056)". Lineage: Eukaryota; Viridiplantae; Streptophyta; Magnoliopsida; Arecales; Arecaceae. The record is from RNAcentral.